AUUGAACGCUGGCGGCAGGCUUAACACAUGCAAGUCGAGCGGGGUGAUGGUGCUUGCACUAUCACUUAGCGGCGGACGGGUGAGUAAUGCUUAGGAAUCUGCCUAUUAGUGGGGGACAACACCUCGAAAGGGAUGCUAAUACCGCAUACGUCCUACGGGAGAAAGCAGGGGAUCACUUGUGACCUUGCGCUAAUAGAUGAGCCUAAGCCGGCUUAGCUAGUUGGUGGGGUAAAGGCCAACCAAGGCGGCGGGCUGUAGCGGGUCUGAGAGGAUGAGCCGCCACACUGGGACUGAGACACGGCCCAGACUCCUACGGGGGGCAGCAAUGGGGAAUAUUGGACAAUGGGGGGAACCCUGACCCAGCCAUGCCGCGUGUGUGAAGAAGGCCUUAUGGUUGUAAAGCUCUUUAAGCGAGGAGGAGGCUCUUUUGGUUAAUACCCAAGAUGAGUGGACGUUACUCGCAGAAUAAGCACCGGCUAACUCUGUGCCAGCCGCCGCAGUAA
Molecule: ribosomal RNA, 503 nt
Filed under: uncultured bacterium
Lineage: Bacteria
Description: partial 16S ribosomal RNA
Rfam family: Bacterial small subunit ribosomal RNA
Source: RNAcentral